This 503-nucleotide ribosomal RNA is filed under the name uncultured bacterium. RNAcentral's name for it is "partial 16S ribosomal RNA". It matches the Rfam family "Bacterial small subunit ribosomal RNA", at positions 30 to 523 of the family's 1533-position model. The record is from RNAcentral.
AUUGAACGCUGGCGGCAGGCUUAACACAUGCAAGUCGAGCGGGGUGAUGGUGCUUGCACUAUCACUUAGCGGCGGACGGGUGAGUAAUGCUUAGGAAUCUGCCUAUUAGUGGGGGGCAACAUCUCGAAAGGGAUGCUAAUACCGCAUACGUCCUACGGGAGAAAGCAGGGGAUCACUUGUGACCUUGCGCUAAUAGAUGAGCCUAAGGCGGAUUAGCUAGUUGGUGGGGUAAAGGCCUACCAAGGCGACGAUCUGUAGCGGGUCUGAGAGGAUGAUCCGCCACAAUGGGACUGAGACACGGCCCAGACUCCUACGGGAGGCAGCAGUGGGGAAUAUUGGACAAUGGGGGGAACCCUGAUCCAGCCAUGCCGCGUGUGUGAAGAAGGCCUUAUGGUUGUAAAGCACUUUAAGCGAGGAGGAGGCUCUUUUGGUUAAUACCCAAGAUGAGUGGACGUUACUCGCAGAAUAAGCACCGGCUAACUCUGUGCCAGCCGCCGCCGUAA